This is a long non-coding RNA of Papaver somniferum (opium poppy), 2017 nucleotides long. RefSeq lists it as uncharacterized. Lineage: Eukaryota; Viridiplantae; Streptophyta; Magnoliopsida; Ranunculales; Papaveraceae. The record is from RefSeq and is a predicted model, not a curated record. The transcript is spliced from 5 exons.
CAAUUGCUAACUAGGAGAUUCACGCGAACGACAUCUUUGAAUGAGAUUCGAUAAACUCUAUGAAAACCUUUUUUUCCUCUCACUUCCACUUUUCCUCUCUCUCAUCUGGUAUCUCUUUCUCAAGCUCUCGUCUAGCUAGUAUCUUUUCAUCACUCAUAGAAAAAAAAUAGAGGGAAGAGUUCUAGUAGAGAAACACCGAUAGCAAAUCCUACAACUACAGGUGAUGCACCACCUUCAUUAGAUGCUUAACGUGUUCAAGUUUCUUAAUCAAUGGCACUAAAGAAGGAGAAAGUUCCGCGACCUCUUCAAAGCCAGCUAAAUCUGGUGCUGGGUUUCAUUCAUAUAACUGUGAAGAGGCAUAUAUUGACUGGAGGACCACAAAAGGCUUCCUUUCACUGUUCCCCCUCAAAUACUAUUAGCACUCAAGAUGGUCAGGUGGCUGCAAGGUCGGGAUGGGUACUAGUCUUCUUGUAUAUUCAUAGACAAACUUUAUAUUUCAAUUCAGGCAGAUGAAAUUGUGUGAGCUUAUGAGGAAUGGUGUUUGGUGUAUUCCCGUGUAAGUGAGAAUUGUUUCUGACUCUCUUAUAUUGCUUGCCUUUUGUAGUGGGGAUGAUUUUAUGAUCUGGAGUGGCACCCUGAAGAAUAAUACUCUUUCUGUUGCUGGGGCUGCUGAGAGAAUAAGAGAUAAGGGGAGAUAUUAAAUUGGGACUCUAAAGUCUGGAAGUCCUUCAUUCAUCCAAGUAUAAAUAAUAAUUUGUGGAAAUUGCAGUGUGGAGCUUAUGUAAAUGCUGAAACAUUGGUCUCCAAGGGUUUUAAUAUGGAGAAGAAUUGGUUACAAUACCUAACAAAAUCUUUCGGCUGUUGCAUCAGGUAAUUUUUGUCUUGUGAUCCUUGUAAGUUUUCUUGGUUGUAUCACGACGAUAUUUUGAUCUUGAGGCCCACCUCCAGAUAACAUUUGAACAUAUCAUACUUUUGUGAGGUGUGACUGAAUCCGACAGUUUGUAAGUGCAUUUAAUAAUGUUGUUCAUUCUGUGUACAUUUAUUAAUCGGACAAUUUGUUAGUGCAUAUCAUCCACUCGAGGUUCUAUCACCUGUCCCAGCUCCGGAACUGGCUUUAAGAUGUACCUGCAAUGCGCAGUAGGCCAGUGUGAUCUUGAAGUAUUCAUAACAUUUGAAGAAGAAGCGUCAGUAAUAGAUAGAUAUUUACUCGAAAUGCUGUUAAAAUUGGCAACUGUAUAAUGGCAAUUGAGAUGUGUUGUAUAAACUCUUAUCUAUAUAUGUUUGUUUCAGUUUUUUAUUAAACUCGUACCUCACUGGCUCUCCUUUCUUUGCAGCCGAAGAGAAGCCAGGUGCUUCUCUUCUAUUAGCUUAAAGACGAAGAUCGAUAAAAUUUAUAAGCAACACAAAGUUAUAUUAGCUUUCUUUGCAGUCGAAGAGAAUCCAGGUGCUUUUGUUCUGUUAGCUUAAAGACGAAGAUCUAUAAAAUUUGAUAAGAUGACUCAGCUCCAACAACAAAGCAUCACUGAAGGAGAGCAAAGAGAUGAAGUUGAUAUUUUCAAUGAAAAGAUAUAUUAUUCCUUCUGGAGAUUUGGUUCAAAUCCAAGCAAAUGGAAUCCCGAAGAUGCGAGCAGGCAAUGCAUUAUUCCAACAAGAGACAUUGAUUCAAAUGUUGAACCAAAUGGACAUGGCUGAAUAGCUUUGAAGAUAACUGGGGAUGACUACUUGAGUGACACUUCUUUAUUAAACAAUAGGCAUGAUGACAGUCGAGAUGGUACAAGCAUAGCAGGUAGCAGUAGCAGUAAUUACCGUUGUAUGGAAUAUGUAAAUAGUGUUUCAUGUUUUCAGUGUUUAGAAUAAUAGGUCAAGAGAUUUCAUUUCUAGAUGAAUUUCAAUUUCUGGUAGUUUUAUUGUUUUUAGGUUGUUUGCCAUAGUAAUGGUAAUAUAUUUGAUUGAGUAAAACUUAAAUCUUUUGUUUUCAGUAUCUAUUAUGAUUUUAUUGAAUAAAUUUUUGUGAAAA